CUCCCACUCAAAUUUUGAAUCAACAGUCUAGAUUUCCUUCUAACUAACCCGAUCAUGCGAUCUAGAUUUUAUGAAGUACAAACGGUCCAUAUUUGUGUUAGGUAGAAUCCAAUAGGCAUGAUUUAGAGAGAUGUGAAAUGAUGAAAAAGGGUUUAAUGAAACCCUUGAUUGGACGACUGAGGUUCAAAAGGUCAUGGUUGAAUGGCUAGGUGUUGAUUUCGCACCUCAAAAGAUGAAAAAGCCUCCCUUUUGAUUUGACAACCUGAAUCUUUAGAGAGAUUGAUCAUAUGACCCAUUCCUAGGGUAUAAAAAUAAACUCUAGAUUAGUCUCCCCAUUUUGGGAGAGAGCUACUGCUGAAGAGAUAGAGAGAGAGAGUGAGUGAGAGAAGAGAUCGAGCAAAAGAGGGAGAGACUAUUUGAGGCAAUUUCUGGUGAAAUGCAACCACGAAAGAGCGAUGAAUGGGGUUUUAAGAGAUGGAAGCAACGCUGACCUUUCUAGCCUAUGUAAAGUAGAACAC
RNAcentral lists this long non-coding RNA (518 nucleotides) under Carica papaya (papaya). Its description in RNAcentral is "long non-coding RNA (CPAP_LNC005678)". Lineage: Eukaryota; Viridiplantae; Streptophyta; Magnoliopsida; Brassicales; Caricaceae. The record is from RNAcentral.